Molecule: long non-coding RNA, 1276 nt
Organism: Rosa rugosa (rugosa rose)
Lineage: Eukaryota; Viridiplantae; Streptophyta; Magnoliopsida; Rosales; Rosaceae
Exons: 5
Source: RefSeq, a predicted model, not a curated record
UUUCCAAACACUUGGUUAAAAAAACAAAAGCAUUCUUUCCCUCUCCCAACCCAAAGCAACUGCAGCUCCCCAUUCUGGUUCUUCUCCCCUAUCAGCUAGCCAUCUAUGCAACAUUCUUUCCAUUUCCCAAUUCUGGUUCUUCUCCCCCGAUCUAUGCAACAAAAGCCUCUCCCCUAUCUAGGUUUUUGACACAGAAGAGUAUCCUCAACCUCUCAUCUAUCUAGGUUAACAAGACACUGUUGUGGAGUUCUUCGAUUUCAAGAACGAGUCCAAAGUCUUGAUUCACUGUUGUUGCACGAUUUGGGUCUUAGCGAUAUCGACCAGCCAUGGACCUUAGCUGCUUGGACUUGGGUUGCAUAGAGGUCUCAAACAAGCAAGGCGCUCAUCAGCCCAGUCUUGACUCUCACCAUAAACAAAACUAGUCGCUUACGGUGAGCUCCAAGAUCGGAAAGAGGCGACUCUUCAUUAUUGAACCUUCUUUGAUGGCUUUGACUCACAAGUACAAUCAGGAGAAGAUGAUUUGCAGAAAGUGCUUAGCCUUGGAUUCUUGUUUUGUUGCUGAGAAAUUUAAUUGUCGAGACUCGAUCAUCUAUACAAGUUGUGGUAGUUGUGUUUGUGUAAAUCAUGGAAACUGGAAUAAGAUGAACAUACUGCAUUUGAAUUUGGUUUUGUGUUUUCAAUUUGGUUGGCAGAAAGAAUAAUUUAAUUAUUUGUAAAACUUGGACUCUUCUCAUUUAUUUCUUGGUGACAAGUCAAUUAAAACAGAUCAUUAAGGAAUCAAUUUCUCGUCAUUUUGAGCCAUUGCUCAAACCUUUCUCUGGUAUGUGUCUUGAUUUGGGUAAAAGUACUUGUUUGGUUAAUGCAAGAGGCAUGAACACUUACUUGCCUUACAACUAGGACUGAAACCUGGGUAGAAGGUUUGCCUUCUCAAGUAGACUUAUUGUAACACAAAUUAUUAAGCUGGAUAUACUUUAGCAUUUGGUUCAAUAUGUUGACUUGGUUUUUGGUAUCUUUUGGUGCUAGGUUUUGGAUGUAGGUUGUGGAAUCGGAAGACCACUUAGAGAAAUAACACACUUCAGCUCAACGUCAAUUACUGGGUUGAACCACUACUAGCAUAUGCCUUAUAGAACACUUUAAUUUUUCUAUAUCUUUUGCUCUAGGGAAUAUGGAUAACCGUAUCAAAAAGUCAUUAGGUACGGUGCAGCCACGGAAUGAAAAAGUGUAUCCUCUAUUGCAGGCUCCAGUAACCAAAAGCCACGCUUUUGACUUUGGUGUC